UGAAACAUUUCUAAACUACGAGGCCUAAACACAGUCCAUCCAUUUUUUUCCCGAAAGCGAUAAUGAAAUAAGGUUUCUGCGGCUGCAGAUAGAAGAAGAGUCUUUAUCUCCGAUCGCAGAAGGGGCGACCAGUAGGGAACACGGACAUUAAGAACAAUGGGCAAAGAGGCACUGGAAGCUUUGGGAAGAGGAUGAACAAGACAGAUCCGCGCAGAGGGCGAUGUGGCUGAGGUACAUCAUCUUCAAUAGAGCCGGUGUAUUUCCAGUUUGAACUUUGCUCAAGCUAUUAGAGUCUUCAGAUGAAUUGUGUUGCCUCGAUGUUAAUCCUUAGUUUUUUAUUUCAUGGAAGACAAGUUUGUUUCAAGAUAACUUUUUCAGUAAUAAUUAUCUUGUUUAAGUAAAAAAAAUACAUUUUAAAAAGUAA
Long non-coding RNA from Populus nigra (black poplar), 424 nucleotides. RefSeq lists it as uncharacterized. NCBI's taxonomy places the organism in Eukaryota, Viridiplantae, Streptophyta, Magnoliopsida, Malpighiales, Salicaceae. The transcript is spliced from 2 exons. The record is from RefSeq and is a predicted model, not a curated record.